This is a long non-coding RNA of Triticum aestivum (bread wheat), 1043 nucleotides long. RefSeq lists it as uncharacterized. NCBI's taxonomy places the organism in Eukaryota, Viridiplantae, Streptophyta, Magnoliopsida, Poales, Poaceae. The record is from RefSeq and is a predicted model, not a curated record. The transcript is spliced from 3 exons.
GCCAAAAAAAAGUAGCCGACCGCCUAAGCACGUCAUUUCCCUUCCUCGAUUCCAACCUUUUCCCCAACCUGCGCUAGCUGAAGGCUCCGGCGGCGGCCGGCCGGCCCUCUCCUGCCGCUCCCUCGGUCCCUCCCCUCCAUCCGACCAUCUCACUCCCCUGCCCUCGGCCUCCGGCGCCCAGCCCCCUCCUCCGCGGCUCCGCCAGGCGCCAGGCCACCAGUCCGCCUCCGGCCUCCCGAGCGCGGCGGCAGCCGGCAGCGACCUCCAGGCUCCAGCCACCGUCCUCGGGCCUCCCCGGCGCGGCGGCAGCACCAUCCAGCAGUCCGGCCUCCGUUCCUCAACAGCCACAAUACCCUGACGCCGGUUGGCCCCGGCACAACGCCGCUCCCUGCCAACACCCCUCUCCCUCAGCUGCUGACCUCGGCAACGGGCUCACCCACACGCCUCUGCUGCCAGAAGAUUGCCCGCAGCUAGCAAAGGCUAAUGGAUCGAAGUUGGAUGAGUAAACCAAGAUCAACUACUGAUUAUAAAGAAGGUGUCGAGCUAAUGGUUGGUUAUCUGACAUAUUCGAAUUGUCAUACAAAGAUUACAAGUUGGUCUUCUUUAAAUGUGAUUGGUAUGAUGUUCAUCACAAAGCUGGUAUUAUAAGAGAUGAGUUUGGAUUCACUCAUGUGAACUUCUCCUGAAAAAUACAUACAGGGGAGAAGUUAGAGGAUGAACCUUUUGUAUUUUCUUCCCAAGUGGACCAGGUCUACUACAUCCAAAAUCCGAGAAGUGAGAAUUGGAAUACCAUGGUGAAAUUCAAACCUCGUGAUAUUUUUGACAUGGGUGGAGAACCAUCUUCAGAUGAAACAGAGAUAGUCUUUGUGUUUUUAGCUUGUUAUCUGUAGCUAAGAUAUAGGUUGAGCAAUUAUCAUCCAUGCUCCUAGGUAGAAUUACUCCAACAUAAUUAUUCUAACUGGGUGGAUCUUCUUCGGAAUGUAUGUUACUCUGUGAUGAACGAGCCUAUGGUAUUUUUUUAAUGUGUAUGUUCCCUUUUGUUA